Small nucleolar RNA from Megalops cyprinoides (Indo-Pacific tarpon), 202 nucleotides. RefSeq annotates it as small nucleolar RNA SNORA74. Lineage: Eukaryota; Metazoa; Chordata; Actinopteri; Elopiformes; Megalopidae. The transcript has a single exon. The record is from RefSeq and is a predicted model, not a curated record.
CCCAGCGGCAGUCAGCUGUGCAGGCCUGUCCCAUGCCUGAGCCAGUGUUACUCUGCUGGGAGAGGAAAGCGCUGUCACUAUGGCUGGGCUCUGGGAGACACUGUUUUAGUGGCUGCUGAUGCCAGGCUGUGGCAGCGCUGUGCCCCUCUGAGAGUGGACUGUACCCACACACUGGGGCAGCCCUAGUCUGGGGGCUAACAAU